AGUAAACAUUUACUAAAAAUGGAAAUAAACAUCACAACA
This 39-nucleotide long non-coding RNA is filed under the name Cimex lectularius (bed bug). Its description in RNAcentral is "uncharacterized LOC112127125". Lineage: Eukaryota; Metazoa; Arthropoda; Insecta; Hemiptera; Cimicidae. The record is from RNAcentral.